Molecule: ribosomal RNA, 294 nt
Filed under: uncultured bacterium
Lineage: Bacteria
Description: partial 16S ribosomal RNA
Rfam family: Bacterial small subunit ribosomal RNA
Source: RNAcentral
GUGCCAGCAGCCGCGGUAAUACGGGGGGAGCAAGCGUUGUUCGGAUUUACUGGGCGUAAAGGGCGCGUAGGCGGCCACCGCAAGUCAGUUGUGAAAUCUCUGGGCUUAACCCAGAACGGUCAGCUGAUACUGCGGGGCUAGAGUGCAGAAGGGGCAACUGGAAUUCUCGGUGUAGCGGUGAAAUGCGUAGAUAUCGAGAGGAACACCUGCGGCGAAGGCGGGUUGCUGGGCUGACACUGACGCUGACAGCGCGAAAGCUAGGGGAGCGAACGGGAUUAGAAACCCCCGUAGUCC